UCUUGUUCAGAUAGCCAUGCACGUCUAAGUACAAACUAAAUGAUGGUGAAACUGCAAAUGGCUCAUUACAACGGUUAUGAUGUACCCGGGAGUUCCGAUGGAUAUUUCCAGUAACACUAGAACUAAUACAUGUCCCUGCGUUUAUUAGUUUCGCACAGUCCGUCGCUGAGUCAUGGUAAACAGUUGAUCGACUCGACGUCCCGGAACAGUUUCCGCCCCAUCAGCUUCGAUGGUUGGGUAUUGGCCUACCAUUGCAACAACGGGUAACGAGGAAUUAGGGUUUGAUUUCGGAGAGGGAGCCUGAGAAACGGCUACCACAUCUACGGAUGGCAGCAGGCGCGCAAAUUACCCAAUGCAGACACUGUGAGGUAGUGACGAGAAAUAAUAAAGCGGGACUUCUGUUUCGCUAUUAUGAUGAGGAAUAACCAAAGGUCAUUCCGAUUAGCAACUGAUGGGAAAGUCUGGUGCCAGCAGCCGCGGUAAUACCAGCGUCAGUAGCA
This 500-nucleotide ribosomal RNA is filed under the name uncultured Myrionecta. Its description in RNAcentral is "SSU rRNA". It matches the Rfam family "Eukaryotic small subunit ribosomal RNA", at positions 35 to 598 of the family's 1831-position model. Lineage: Eukaryota; Ciliophora; Litostomatea; Cyclotrichida; Mesodiniidae. The record is from RNAcentral.